UUUGCAACGUUUGAUCAUUCACACCACGUUCGACAAUGUGAUUCUGAUCUUCAUCCUCCUAAGCUGUGUCACCAUUGCUAUGGAGAGGCCCGCGAUUGAACAUCAUAGCAUGGAGCGAUGGAUCCUGGAUAUAUCCAACUACGUAUUCUCUGCUGUCUUCCUGGUGGAGAUGAUUUUCAAGGUCCUAGCUCUUGGUCUGCUGUUUGGGAAGGAGAGCUACUGCCAGUCUUCCUGGAACAUGUUGGAUGGUUUGCUAGUGUUUCUGUCUUUUG
Morone saxatilis (striped sea-bass) is the source of this 272-nucleotide long non-coding RNA. RefSeq lists it as uncharacterized. The transcript is spliced from 3 exons. Lineage: Eukaryota; Metazoa; Chordata; Actinopteri; Moronidae. The record is from RefSeq and is a predicted model, not a curated record.